Molecule: long non-coding RNA, 1549 nt
Organism: Gadus morhua (Atlantic cod)
Lineage: Eukaryota; Metazoa; Chordata; Actinopteri; Gadiformes; Gadidae
Source: Ensembl
AUGCUCCUUGUCUGCCAUCAUCUGCCCGCCAUCAUGCCUCAUGCAUCGACUCUCAGCGCCCUACCCAGCUGCAUCUUAUUCCGUAGCUCUUUCACAAAAGUGACAAGCCCUACCGGUACUGUGCGCUCUUCCUCCUCCAUGCUCCUCACCACACCCCCUACACGGCUGUCAUCCAUGGGGCCCCGAGCUUGGCUAGAGCUGUGCUUAUAUAUACGCACACUCCUAAGUACAAGUCCAUUUUGGAAAAUUCCAUCCUUUGCAUGGCAAGGUUCGUACGCACUCCUUAUGCAAAAAUAUGUGCUUGAGUACAUCCCUCAUUUAUCAACAAGGUUGAUAUAUAUAAUCAGUUGAGGAAAUCACAAACAAAGGAAUCAGUUGAGGAAAUCACAAACAAAGGUUGAUAAAUGCGGCCCCUGAAAAAAAAGAGGUCCUAAGCCUCCCUACGCCAGACCCCUCCGCCUCACUCAGAAGCCCUCAAAAGCCUCUGCAGCAUCGCCCGAGGACCUGGCAACAAGGCCCAAGCUACAGUGCCUGGACCUUUCGGACCCGGCUGGCGGGGCUGGGGGUGCCCAGUGCCCACCAGAAGCUGGCCCUUGUGCAGGCCAUCCGGCGAAGCCUUCUGAUGAAGAUGUGGGCCAAAUACCAGCCCAGCGAAAGAGCGCAACCAGGGCCGGCGCUGGCCGUUUCGGUGCCCUGGACAGGACUUCUGAGCGGGGGGGGGGGGUGAGCACCGGCCCUGAGUGAUAGGUUAUGCAAUUAAGGAAAAACAACGGUGGGCCUCUUCAUAACUAAUUUAUAUAUUUUUGUAAUUCAAUAAUGUGAGAAUUAUUAAAUUUUUUGCAGCCCCCCCACCAGGUACUUGGUGCCCUACGCACUCUGCGUAUAGGGAGCGGCGGGCCUGAGCGCAACAUUGUGGUUCCGGAAUUAAAAUCACAUUCAUUUUCUCAAUAGAGGUUUUGAUUAAAAGCCAUAAUGUCAUAACCAUCCAAGGUAUACUUGCCUGAUUGUUACCAAAAGCUUUUUUGAUAUCAAUAAAUACCCCUACUGCAUUUUUAGUUGAAUGGCGUUUGUUAUUUACCUCAAAAAGAAUCGUGGGAUGUAUCGAACCGUGGGUCAACAAUCGUGAUACAUACCGAAUCGUGAAUUUGUGUAUCGUUACAGCCCUAAUAUAUAUAUAUAUAUAUAUUUAAUGCGAGUGAUGUUGAUCAGAUGAAUCUGAAUAUUCAUGAAUCCAAAUUGACUUAACUUGUGCUUUUCUAAGAAUGUGUCUAGUCUAUUGUUGUCGAAAUCCCCACAAUUAAUUCUUUGACCAAUGUCCUGUCGAUGUCAUUAAAAUCUGUGGACUUUUUGUUUUUACAUUUUCUAAAAAUAUCGAAUAUUUCUGUAUCCUCCACUGCUUUGAGAAACAGCAGUUGAGGAGCUUCUAAUGCUUUCAUUCCUAUGAAAAAAAGAUAUUAUUUUUUAAAGAAGUACAAUGAAAGCAGUGGAAGCUCCUCCACUGCUCGGUUUCUCUGUAUUGCAUUACAAUAAUUAUAUUUCUAUAUAUUAC